RNAcentral lists this ribosomal RNA (501 nucleotides) under uncultured bacterium. RNAcentral describes it as "partial 16S ribosomal RNA". It matches the Rfam family "Bacterial small subunit ribosomal RNA", at positions 30 to 523 of the family's 1533-position model. The record is from RNAcentral.
AUUGAACGCUGGCGGCAGGCUUAACACAUGCAAGUCGAGCGGGGGAAGGUAGCUUGCUACCGGACCUAGCGGCGGACGGGUGAGUAAUGCUUAGGAAUCUGCCUAUUAGUGGGGGACGACAUCUCGAAAGGGAUGCUAAUACCGCAUACGUCCUACGGGAGAAAGCAGGGGAUCUUCGGACCUUGCGCUAAUAGAUGAGCCUAAGUCGGAUUAGCUAGGUGGUGGGGUAAAGGCCUACCAAGGCGACGAUCUGUAGCGGGUCUGAGAGGAUGAUCCGCCACACUGGGACUGAGACACGGCCCAGACUCCUACGGGAGGCAGCAGUGGGGAAUAUUGGACAAUGGGCGCAAGCCUGAUCCAGCCAUGCCGCGUGUGUGAAGAAGGCCUUAUGGUUGUAAAGCACUUUAAGCGAGGAGGAGGCUACUUUAGUUAAUACCUAGAGAUAGUGGACGUUACUCGCAGAAUAAGCACCGGCUAACUCUGUGCCAGCAGCCGCGGUAA